Tyto alba (common barn owl) is the source of this 705-nucleotide long non-coding RNA. RefSeq lists it as uncharacterized. The record is from RefSeq and is a predicted model, not a curated record. The transcript is spliced from 2 exons. NCBI's taxonomy places the organism in Eukaryota, Metazoa, Chordata, Aves, Strigiformes, Tytonidae.
CUGCGCUAAAGGGGCGGCUGUCAGGAGCGGGGUGACCCUCGGGAUGAGGGGGGGGGGGUGCCCCCAAAUCCCCUUGCCCAGUUUCCACCCUCUCCCCCCAUCCCACAGCCCAGCCUGGCAGCAGCAGCGGGAUCCUGUACACAACUUUUUCAAACUGCCAGGCAGAAGAAUCCCAGUCUUUCCAAGGGAGUGUCGGUAAAUCAUCAUUACAUCCGACAACGCAACCAGCGGGAUUAACCCUUUACUCGUCCCCGGGAAAAUAAUAACAACAACAACAACUUUAACAAUGAAAAUAGUAAAAGCUGGUCCCAGCCGCGUGAGAAAGAGGACGGGGGCAGGGUGUGUGCUGUCGUGUUUUAGAUACACACGUAUCUAGAUGGAAAGAAGUAUUUGUGCGCGCGUGUGUAUAUGGAACACACGAAGAACAUGCUACCAGGCAGCCGCCUGCCCCCCCGGCCCUGCCUCAGCCCUCCCCCGUGGCUCUCCCACUCUCCGCAGGACCGCGGCGCCGAUCUCCAGUGCAGAUGUGCCUCCCACCCCCCCAAGGAUCUCUCCUCUGGACUUAGAGAGAAGAGGAAAAGGCAGAUUUUGAGAAAUGAAAAUUAUUUAAGGAUGUCCCUGCUGCCUCUCUCUGCUGCCCUCCUCUGUAAUGCUGAAGCACUUACAAAAAAUAAUACAAAGUAAAUAAAUAAUUAAAAAAAGGAA